UCCUAUUGUAACUCUUUCUUCAGGUUGGGAAUGCUGAUCACUACAACAGCUACAUCCAGUCUCUGAAGACCAGUAUUCCUGUUAGAGGCCUUCAGGAAUUCUGGGACAUGCUAGUCCAAGAUGCCCUGACUCUGAUCAACAAGGACGAAGUUGAAGGGAGCACGUUCUCCAGUCAUGAUGCCAAGCAGUUCCUGACUGCAGAGGAGAAGAAAGAGGAGGUAGUAGCAGCUGUGGUGGACGAUACAGGAGAUGUGGACGACUUGCUGGACAUGAUGUGAGGUAGAAGACUACUGGGUUGAGGAGUGGAGGAUGAAGGAAACGUGACCAAACAGAUUCAACUGUCCAUCAUCUGCCACCUGGAGUUAACGGCAUACUUCGGGAUUUUGACAAUUUAUUGAUUUCCCCAGAGUCAGAUGAAUACCAUGUGGAUGCCAUUUUUAUGUCUSUGUAUCCAGUAUGAAGGAAGUCAGAGGUAAUGCUAGCUGAUAUCCUAUACAGAGCCUUCGGAAAGUAUUCAGACCCCUUAGCUUUUCCCACUUUUUGUUACGUUACAGCCUUAUUCUAAAAUUGAU
Salvelinus sp. IW2-2015 is the source of this 572-nucleotide long non-coding RNA. RefSeq lists it as uncharacterized. The record is from RefSeq and is a predicted model, not a curated record. Lineage: Eukaryota; Metazoa; Chordata; Actinopteri; Salmoniformes; Salmonidae.